AACGUAGGUUCCGAGCGUUAUCCGGAUUUACUGGGCGUAAAGCGCGUUCAGGCGGUUUGGCAAGUCGGGCAUGAAAUCUCUCGGCUCAACCGGGAGAGGUUGUCCGAUACUGCUGGACUUGAGGGCAGUAGAGGGUGGUGGAAUUCCGGGUGUAGUGGUGAAAUGCGUAGAUAUCCGGAGGAACACCAGUGGCGAAGGCGGCUUCCUGGCCUGUUCUUGACGCUGAGGCGCGAAAGCUAGGGUAGCAAACGGG
RNAcentral lists this ribosomal RNA (253 nucleotides) under uncultured bacterium. RNAcentral's name for it is "partial 16S ribosomal RNA". It matches the Rfam family "Bacterial small subunit ribosomal RNA", at positions 524 to 776 of the family's 1533-position model. The record is from RNAcentral.